UAAAACAAAAUGGAGAAGAAAAAAUCUUUUUGAUUUUAGUUCUAACGAUAAAAAAUUCUCUCUCCCUAUGUAAAAACGCUUGAGUGCAAUUCCAAGCCUCAUUCUUUUUUUUUUUGAUGUUUCUGGAUGUUGCUUCUCUGCUAUUUUGGUCUUUUGUUAGUGGAUGCUUAUGAUUCAAUAUCAUCGUUUUGCAGAUAUAAUGAAAGCUUUAGUUGAUUGGCAUUGCUCCUCUCUUAUGAAGACUGCUCGGAUUCUAAGAAGACAGGCUUUUAAAUACUUAAUGUAAAAAAAUGGUGGAUAUGGGGAUAUUGGAUAUUUUCAUUGAUAUAUGAAAUGAAUGAACUUGCAGUUACCGAGUUGCUAGGGCAUAGUUGGGACAAGGUUUCAGAGACGAGUCUAAUGAGCCGGAGGGAGUUGCUAACACCUCCACCAAUCCCAGUUGAUAUUUAAUUGGAAAACCUCGCAUGGCGAUUUUAGAUGGAGAAAAGAUUACUGGUAAGUGGAGUGCAAAUAACAGAAUUUUCCAUCCAAGACUUCGAAGGAUUCAGGCGAAUUUAUAUAUUUUAUUUCUUCAAAGAAAGGUUCAAAAUAUUUCUCUGCUGCAAAUAUUAUUAUAGAUUUGGGAAGUUCUAUAAAAAAACCCUCAUUCUGACCUACUUUAUAAUCGUUCACUACAUCUUUAUUUAAUUGUUUCUCAUAAGUAACCUCUAUCUUUG
Long non-coding RNA from Papaver somniferum (opium poppy), 716 nucleotides. RefSeq lists it as uncharacterized. Lineage: Eukaryota; Viridiplantae; Streptophyta; Magnoliopsida; Ranunculales; Papaveraceae. The record is from RefSeq and is a predicted model, not a curated record. The transcript has 4 exons.